Long non-coding RNA from Rattus norvegicus (Norway rat), 19778 nucleotides. RefSeq lists it as uncharacterized. NCBI's taxonomy places the organism in Eukaryota, Metazoa, Chordata, Mammalia, Rodentia, Muridae. The record is from RefSeq and is a predicted model, not a curated record.
GCCCCGCCCUGCGCUGCACUCCUGGGUGGCUCCCCACCCUCGCCAACUCAGCCGGACCAGUCGGGACCGUUGGGAGGGGAUGCAGAGGGGCAGAGAAGCACUGCGGGCUGUUCUAGGCAUCCCAGUUAGUUGGGGAGAGAGAUGUGACUCGGGGUGGUCGUGUUUCAUGGGCUCCCUCGGGCUCUAUUUCUUCGCCAAGCAUCAGGUCGUUCUGAGAAACACUAAGCAGGUGCUUUGUACGCUUUGGUCCAGUAUCCCCUGGCUGUGGUGACCCACCACGGAACUUGGCAUGUUGACGCACAUGGCCUUGGGACCACAAGAACUCCUGUCUGUCGCCUUCCCUUUCUUCUCCCUCUCGGCUGCUCCCUUUCUUCUUGGAACUAUCUAGGCAGUGUUUUUCUUGUAGAACGUCUUCGUGAAAACUUUCACUUUGGGGAGAGGGAACAGCUCUGCUCAAUUUAGCAAGUACCGUUUCUCAUCUUGCCUCCAAAGCAGAAACUGAUUUAGUAACCCGACCUUCUUCCACCACUGAUUUCAACUUUCCAAAAAACCCCACACUUGUCCUUUGGUCCUUUUGCUUGAACUCAGUCAGAUAGUGGACCUCGAAGUUUGAGAUAGAGGGCCCACUAGGGAUGAAGAAAAAUGCACCCUCUUUCCCCUCCACGUGUGACCUUUCCGUCCCAACAAGAGUUGGAGGUGGUGAUGGUAACAGGAUGACAGAGCUUGGAGAACCGCCCAGCUCCAUGCAGGACCUUCCAGAAAAAUGCUUCAGUUAAAUCCAGAGAUACCCUGUGGAAAAACAGUAAAUUCAGACUGGCCACUCCAGCGGUGUGGGGACCAGCCAGCUGGGCUCCAGUGCACUUGGCUUCAGCUACUGGGCUCCUGCCCAAACCUAGCACCUCCCCAGGGGCAUGUGGUGGAGAGGAUAGGAUAGCACAGGAGAGAGGGAUGGAUCUAGAUUUUUCUUUAUAGGAAUAUGAUCCCAUAUGACCACUUUGGAUUUGGCAAAACUUUACUCGAAUGGUCAGGAAAGUACUCCGGGUGGUGUAGGAAGAGGUGGGCUGAUGUUUAUAUUCUUACUACCAGAGCACAGGGCUGGACCUCAGCCCAGGAAACUCGGCAUCAUUAGAGAGAAGAAGGUUUUUUUUUUUCCCCCAGAGAGGACUGAUCCAGGGGUACCUACUAAGCCCCAGCCCAUGCGACAGGUGAGCUGUCCUGUGACUCUAUUCGGUGUCACAGCUUCUGCAGGGGGAAGCUUCUGGCCUUGUCGUUGCCUUAGACAAGGUGGAACUGAGAGCUGGAACUUGAACUCAGGCAAGUUCCUUCAGAACAGGCCAGAGCUAGACCUAGAUGUGGGAGAUGGGCUUCCAGGGGGCCGGACUUACCAUCUCACUUUGGGGAGAAGUAAAGAGCUAUGCAGCUGCUGAGAAGAGAUUGGUGUGACAGGAGUUAGUUAGAAAUGGGCAGAAGAAGUGACCCACACUGGUGGCCCACAGUCCCCUGGGGAGGAAGUAGUGUGUCACACGUGCUGACAUCCUUGAGUAGUUCUUGAACAGGCGCUGUUUGGAGGAGGGCUGGUGUAGGACAGGCCUAGAGGAGGAGGGCAGAAGGUAGGAGUCUGGGCUACUUUUGUAAGAAUCUGAGUGUGUACCGGUGACAUUUUAAAGAAACACACGUGGGAAACAAAGUAGCUCUUACUGUUGGUGGCCUAGCUGCACCAGGCCCUGGGUUACUGGCACAAGCAGAGGCUGAAUACUUGGCUGGUUGAGUUGCUUUGGGGAGACAGGUCCUUCUUUGGCCAUCAGGGCCACCAAUGUGGAGACAGCCAUAGAAUAUAGAGCUGGGGGGCAGCCUUCUCCCUUCCUUUUGUAAAUAUUUGUUGCUCUGUAUCGUGUCUGACACAGUGUGUCUGUGGGCCUGAUACUUAGGGACUACCAGUUACAUGGGUGGAUGGAUAGAAAGAUAGGAGAUGCUAGGAGUACAUCACGGGCCCUUAGCCUUGCUUCGCCCUGACUCGCCAUCUGAGACUGUGUCCUAAGGUAUCUCCCGGAGCAGGAUGUGGGAGACAGUCAGCUCCUUUGACUCAGUUCCAUUCUGGCUCCUGCUUUCAGCAGCUGGUGCUCAGGGCAGCUAGCUCACUUGAUGUCACGGUUGAGUAAGAAUUGCUUGCUUGCUUGCUCCGGUGCAUAGUAUAGGUGGGGAUGCUGGGAGGAUACAGAGGCCUGUUUUGAGAAGCACCCCUGAGUAUAACAUGAAGGGGAAUCGACUGUGAGACACACUGAGGUCAGAGAGGUUCUGAGGCAGGGUCUCAGCAGAAAGCUCAGGAGAUAGGUGGGAGUGUGGUGGGAGGGAGGCGAUGUCCAAGGCGUUGCUUUGGGAGUCACGAUGGCUCUUUGGAUGGAGAAAGUGCCAUCAUUGCAUAAAACCCUUGUCUGCAGGUCGGUUAAUGGAAACACCAGAGAACAUGUCUUGUUUGGAAAUAGAGAUAAAUUUAUCAGCGCAUCAGGGUUUGGCUGAGACACGUACACGUAUACCAGAGGACAAGGACCUGUUACUUAUCACUGACCAGGAGAGUACAAGAAGAGAGUGAGAGUGAAUGCCCACGAGUUCGAGGCUAGUUUGGGCAACAGAUUGAGACCCUGUGUCACGUUUUAAAACAAAAAGGUAUAGUCAUAUAGGGUAGCAGCAACAAAGGUAUCAUAUAAUUCAUACUUCUGCUUCAGGCGCCUUUUUACAGAACCAGUGCUGUAAUUCUCCUGGUACAGCUGACUAUCACGCAGCAGCACCUUGAGCCCAUGCGUGGAUCAUGAACCCGUUCGUAGCCUGUGCUGUUGACAGAGCAACGGAGAUUAUAAACCAGAUCCAGCUAAGUAGAGCUAAGAGCCGAAAAACAGUGCCCCAGAUGGCCGUGGCUUUGGGAUGAUGACGAAGGAUGACUCUCCAACGGGCAUAGGAAUUGGGACAGAGUUGCCUUUAGCUACUGGCCCAGGAGAAGCCCAGAGUAUAAGGGGUUGUAGAAAAGAUGUCUCCCAGCCAGAGUCCUAGACUGUAAAUUGUUUUUGGGUAGGAAAGGCCCUUCCGGAUCUGGAGACAUUUCAAAAGAGUAAUCAACAUGUGAGGUGCUGCAUGUAAAAAGCCAGGGAAAGACUCUGUGGAUAGGAGAAACUCAGUCUACCCAUCCUUACUCCAGCAAAGCCAGUCCUACCCAAGACAUCCCAAACCGACAAGCCCAGAGGUCUCCAAGCCUCAUGUGCGGGCAGAGGUGGGCUAGAGGGGACAGCUAGAGGUUUUCAGAAGUUCUCCCUCCUAGCCUCACCCCAGAGCCUCUGAAGGCAGAGGCCACGGAACCACGCCUCUUGGAGGCACGGACUCUUUGUUAAAUGGGUUUUAUUUAGGUGGCUUCUUUUAUGUGAGCCUUGAGCAGGCUGACACUGUGAGCGUUAGUACCUGGUCCUGCUGAACUCAGGAGAUUCAAGAGGCAGCACAAAGUCCUCCCCUGAGGAAGCUCACAGUUAACACAGUCGGGGCAAAGACAGUCAUUCAUAUUCCUGGAGACAGUUAGACAGUUUCUCAUCUACAGUGCAAGUUUUGCUAUUGGUAGUUGGAUGCACUUUUUGUCUCUUUAACCAAAAAAAAAAAAAAAAAAAAAAAGAGAGACGAGGGUUGGUAGAAAGCAUGAAUGGAGUUUCUGCGGUCCUAAACCGUUUCCCUGGCAUUUGUAGAGCCUGCCUUACUGGCUGGUGUCUUACUUUUCUUAAUGCUCUCUGAUGGUCUGCUCAAGUGUUAAAUAGUAAGGCUCGAUAAAAUUAGUAAGUUAACAGGAUCGAAAGCCAGGCAUUAAGUUUACUUUAUCCCAUCCCGGGGAGCAAUAAAUAGAUUGUCCCGGAACUUGAGUGAGAUUGGUCAGGGACGUCAGGAUGGUGAGCUGGCUGGCCAGAUGCCUCAGCGCAGCAGGAUGAAUUCUGAGUCCCUUUGGAGCUGGGUGAUCCUGGGCAAAUUCUGUGCCUUGGACUCAGACAUCAGACUUUCCGUGAGCUUACAUUUCUCAUGGACAAAGCUCUGGUCCCGGAACCUGUGAGGGAGCAGUCACUCUUGGCAGUGCUUUGAGUACUGACCCCUGGCUCUGGCCUGUGUGGGACCAGACCUGACUGGUGCCAGCCUCCCUGGCCUUCAGGGCCAUAGCAGUGAAGGGCCUGGGUCAGUGGUUUUGAGAUCCCUUUGUUAGAGCUGCCUGUGAGGAAGGAAACCACCAGUCUGUGAGGAGAUUGUGCUCCUGUAUCCCGCUCAAAGGCUUGGAUGCCCUGGAGAGGCUCCCACUUUAAAUUAUGAUUUGUAAAGCCAUGUUUGGCACUGAAGGAAUGCCUCCAUCUUGACCAUAGCCACCCUUACUUCAGCUUUCAGUCAGUUUAUGUGUCUUUCUGGGAGUCAGUGGGAGUCACAUGCCCACUCCUAAGAACCAAUGCCACAGGGUAAUUCUUUGCUCCCCUCUGUGACCUUGGACUUUCCCCUCCUGGUCCUUCUGGUUAAGGCCCUACUGAGCUGUGUCUUUUGCUUCGACACUUUCUCUGACACCAGAAAAGAAAAAUGCUUGCAACAGAGAAACUGAAGAGGGUAGUAGACAUCUUGAAUGUUUCCCUAAAAACUCAGAAGCCCCUGGAAAGUUGGUGUGACUCAGACCUGCUAAGUGACAGGUAUCUAGAACCACCGGGUUACAUUAGCCAGGACAACAUGCUUCAGAAACAGACAUAAGUGGUAAGGGGGGGGGGAGUUAGAGCGCUGGAAGGGCAGAAUACAUCCCAAAUCCACCCAAACCAUUCCUUGAACAGUGUCUGUGUACUCAGGAGUAUGGCAGGUAUAGGGAAUGAGAGGUCAAGUUAACUGACCUUUCUUAUUGAGAAGCUUUCGCGAUGCCUGACUGUGGGCUAAACUUCUGUCUGAGCUUCCCUUUUUGAAUGUGUGACUGGUUUCCUCACGAGUAAAACAAUAAUGGAAAUAAGGUUUUUUUUUUUUUUCUCACCCUGCUCAGAGAUAUUAGCACGAAGGACAUCGUUUCACGAAGUGUUCAGCACCAUCUGGUGUAUUUCUAGAUAGAACUCUGCCCUGUCAGCUGUAGUGGCAACCAUUGUCAUGACCAUCAAAGCUCCAGCGAGGCAGUCAGUUCAGAAGAAAGGUCUAGAAUGUCUGUCCUGUGCAACACUUCAUGUGGGUGAGUUGGGCGCUUUAGGAAAGGUGCACAGAGGAGUGGAAACGUGGCCUGAGACGGACAUGGAGUUUGCUAGUCUGGAAAGGUUCUCUGGGCCAAGGGAGUUAAAGGCUGCUUUUCUAUAGCCUCUGACCGUCCAGUCCCAAUCAUUACCCCAGCAUUGAGCUUCUGAAAAGUAUGUGGCUUCCUCUGAAGUGGCUGCAUGUGUGGCACCCCGGGAGUGUGUGUGUGCAUGUGUGAGUGUGCAUGCCGAGACCAGCGACAUAUGUUGAGCAUCUCCGUUCAUCACGCACCCCCACCUUUUGUUUUGAGACAGGGUCUCUCAUUGAACCUAGAGUCCAUAGGUUCAGCUAGAUUGCCUAGCCAGCGAGCCCCACAGACUCUCCUCAGUGCUGGGAUGAUAGAGAUAAAACACUUACUGGCUUUUCCACAUGGGUGCAGGAGAUGGAACUGGGACUUCAUGCUUGUGCCUCAGUUUACUGACCUGAGCAUUUCCCUAGUCCUUAAGACUUUUAUACGCACUAUCUCAUUUACUGGGUUAGAGCUUACAGGAGACGGCAGUUGAUAGACACUCUAUGUCCUUCUUGAACCUGGCCUGGUUUUGUUUUUAUGUUCUGGAAAUUCCUCAUAGGGAAAAAUUUGUCAUGUCUUCAGGAAAGAGGGGGAAAAAGAACCCAAACAAUUUGGGAGUUUACAAAUAGCCUAUUAUUUUGAUUGCUAGGACAGUUUGUUGAGUUAGCAUAUUUUGUAAAUGGUUCUGUAUAGCAUUGGUUGACAGCAACUGCUCCCUAGCCAUGGGACAGUCACAUCUGUGCACUGAAUUCUCGGAGGGCUGGUAGUCGUGGUUGGAAUUUUUGAUAAUUUCCAAAUUUGAAUAACCCAUGUCUUCAUGAGUCAGAGCCUUGUGCAAUAAUUUAGACUUCAGGAACGUCUUCUUCCCUGGGUUGUGCAAUGAGCUCUCUAGAAGGAGAUGCUAGGCUGCCUGUGCAGUGAGCAUGUUUGUCUCAGUGUGGAUGAGAUGUAGAAUUCCCUUCCACAGUCUUGGGCAAGAUGUUACCCGAUCAUCCAACACUUGGGGCAUCUCACGCCCUGUGACUAAGAUGAGUUUUCUAUUUGGUACCCAUACUCAAAGUAGGAGUCAUCAGUCAGUAAUUACUCUGUAGACAGAUGGAUACAGACUGCUGCCAGUUGGGGUUGCCUCAGUAUAUGCCGGCCGGCUGGAUAUGGGAGAGAGAGGGCUCAUCCAAAAGUUAACACCUGCUUUUCACAGAUACACACACACACACACACACACACACACACACACACACACACACAGACACACAGAUACAGACAUACACAGAGACAUACACAGACAUACACAGACACACACACAGACACACACACAGAGAGACAUACACAGACACACACACAGAGACAUACACAGACAUACACAGACACACACAGAGACAUACACAGACACACACACACAGACAUACACAAACAUACACAGACACACACACAGACAUACACAAACAUACACAGACACACACACACAGACACACAGACACAGACACACAGACACACACACAGAUAUACACACACAGACACACACACAGACACACACAGACAUACACACACACACACACACACACACACACACACACACACACACACACACACAGAGUGAGCCACCUGGAGGUGGAAUAUUAUAUUCUUGGGUCAGGAUGAGGGAAAUGUCACCAAAUCACAGUGAUCUAAAGAGUGACCACUACUGUUCUAAUUGGGCGACAGGCCUUGUCUUGUUCCUUUGUGGAUAUGGGAAGGUAGUGGCAUUAACCCUGCUGCCUAGCUAUAGAAACAGAAGAGGUUCCAAGAGGUUUUAUCUACCUAGGGCCACCCACUAAGGAGAGAGCUAGGAUUUGAACUUGGCUCCGCCUCACUAUCAGACUGGGGGGCUUCCUUAACUCAGGUUGUUUAAAAGCAUGCUGAUUAAUCUUCAGACAUUUGGAGUCUUUUUCAACAUCUUCCCUUUUAUAAGACUUUCGGGUUUAGUUCUAUAGUGGUCUUAGAACACCUUUGGGGAUUUCUGAUCUUUUGAAUUCAUUGGAGUGUGUUUUCUGGCCUUGAAUGUGGUCAGUCUUGGGAACAGCUCCAUAUGGGCUGGAGAAGAGCAUGUGUUUGGCUGUUGUUGACUGGAAUCUUCUAGAUAUCAGUUAGAUGGUGCAGGCUGGUGGUGCUGUUUAACUAGACACUGCUUUUGCACCUGUGUUGGCAGGGUGUGAAGGAAGGAUGCUAAAGCAACCUUGGCUACAGUCUGUCUUCUGGGACUCCAUUUUAGGGAACUGGACCUCCUCAGCCCCACCCCCACCCCGCAUGAGUCACUGACUCCCUGUGCUCUGUUUCCUGAUUGUGUUGCUUAAGGAUAAUGGUACUGGGAACACCAGCAGGGGAUUUUUUUUUUUUUUUUUUUUUGGUUCUUUUUUUCCGGAGCUGGGGACCGAACCCAGGGCCUGCCUUGCGCUUCCUAGGUAAGCGCUCUACCACUGAGCUAAAUCCCCAGCCCCACCAGCAGGGGAUUUUAAGGUCAGGUAAACUAAUGGGAUAGUGAAUGAGCUUUGUCAACCGGGAAUAGGAAUGAUUGACCGAUACCUGGACUGCUAGACAGUAGGUCCACACUCUUCCAGAUCUCGUGCUAGCAAAACAAACAAAAAACAAAACAAAACAAAACUGACCAGGCAACCAACCAAUCCCCCCCCCCAAAAAAAACCCCAAAACACCAUGACUGAUCCAGAAAAGAUAGAAAAGUAGGGUGGAUCUUACUGGGUCACUUCUGUCCAUGGUCACGGUCAAAGAAUCCCUGAGACUGGGUACUUUACAAAGAAGCUUAUUUUGCUCACUUUUCUGGAGGUGCAGGCAUAUGCUUGACUCUGGUAGAGAUGUCAUGGUGGGUGGCACCAUGGGAGUGUGAACUGGAGAGGUUGUGAGACAAUGUGGAAGUCAGAAAGAGACCUACAGAGGCCAGGCUUGUUCUGUGGAAACCACCCUCUCGUAAGAACUAACCAAGGACCCAGGAGAACUGCCUUAUUUCCCGCUAAAGGCCAGACCCUCCAGUUAUCCAGUUGCUUCCUUAUAAGGCCCUGUCUCCAAACGUUCCACAUCACCCCCUAACGGCACCACAUGGGGACACAUUCUAACCACAGAAGCUCAACAUUGCCACCAUGGAAUCUGCUGUACUUUCCACUACACAUCUGUAGCCACACGAGCUCCUUGAUUUUGUCUUUCCUUGGUGUUUGUGGAUCAAGACACUGCCCUGUGGAGACACCAGAGGUUGGUCAAAGCCACCAACUAAUUGUAGGGAAGACAGCAUCUCAGUACCUGAAGCCGAAAGGUGCUGCCGGCCUCACAGCCCAGUUCCUCACACUGUAGGUGGGAAAGCUGAGGCACCCGAAGGGAACUUGGUUCUCACAAGCUGUGUUAUUAGACUUGUUGGAGUCAGAGCCUGGGCCCUGUCAGCCCUAAUAAACUACAUUCACGUGCAUGUCCUCAACAGGUCAAUAAAAGACACAAUUAAUAGUGAGAAGCAGAAAUGAGAUAUUCAAUGUGACCACAUUGGGAAGGAAGACAGAAUAGUCCCAAGUUUAUCUGUGGGAAUUCUGACAUGAAGUUUAGAUUUAAACAGAGGGUAUGUGGCUUAAGCAGUCCAGGUCAUGGUGUGGUCCCACCCAUCACUGACCCAUCAUUGUCUCCGCUCCAGUCUCACUGGAAAGAUGCUCUGAUAUGUCAGGAUUGUGUGAAAUGUCUUUCCUAAAGACUAGCUCCUCCUCUGGCUAGCAACAGGCGUCACCCUUUUUUAUCUCUCAGCAUGAGAUUCCUGGGGAAAUUCCAACUCCUUGGGGACCAUUGUUUCAAUAGAAUGAUAGCCAAAGGUGUGUGGGGUGGGGUGGGGUGUGUGUGUGUGUGUGUGUGUGUGUGUGUGUGUGUGUGUGUGUGUGUGUUCCAGGAGAGUCUCUUUAGACUAUCUUCAUAUCUGAGGCUGGAGGGAUGCUCAGUCGUAUGAACUGUUUUUGCAGAGGACCCAAGUUGGGUUCCCAAUAUGUUGGGUAAUUCACAACUGCCCAUAACUCCAGUAUGGGUAAUCCAGUACCCUCCUCUGGCCCUCACAUGCACAAACCCCAUGCGUGGGCAAACAAGUAAGAAUAAAAAUAAAGUCUUUUUAAAAGCACGUAUAAAUGUGCAGCUUGGUGGUGGGGGCCGACUCUAUGAACCCAUCUUGGCAGCCUCCUUCUCCUGGAGCAGUUAGGUGUUUGGAGGAGGCUGGGGUCCACAUGGGAGAUUUUUCCCAUGAGGCCCGAGAAACAGUAGGUGUUUUCACUCAGUCUCACUUUUCAAAGUGUCAUUGAAGAGAUUUUUUUUUUUCCUACUUGUAAAGAUGACUACAUGGUAGCCCGUGUGGUAACUGGCUUUUCCCUGCAAGCGUUUUGAGGCUCUGGAACACUAAUUGCAGUGCACUUGCCUCAGGGAAAAAUCUGCGCAAAUAUUAUUGCGAAUGAUUCAGUGCCGAGGAGCCUUGGCGCCUUAACCUAUCUACGGUUUGAACUUUGUCAGGAUGAGCCUGUUUUCUUCUCUUCAGACAGGCUUGGUUUCUUUCUUCUGUGUUAUUUAGCCACUCCCUCUAUAUGUCUGAUGAUCUAAAACUGUACUCUAUCAGUUUUUAGAAACCCGAAGCAUAAUCACGUCAAAAAUACACAAGGAAAGAGAGUCACGUUCCUACAGUCUCAAGCCUCACCUCAGGGGGCCGUGGUUGUUAGCACUUCAAGGACAGACACUUUAUGUUCAUAGGUGUUUUGGUGUGUUGAACUCUUUUAGGAUAGACAGUACCAAGUACAGUAGCUGGAGAGAAGUGGACCGGUUUGCUGUAACCCUUGGUAUUUAUUGUCAAACUCUGUCCCCAAAGGGUUGCUGAAGUCCUUUGUCAUCAGUGAUGGAGAUUUUAAAAGUGUUUGUUGGGAGAGAGUGUGAAUGUAUGAGUCUGGGGCACGUGUGUGCAUACCUAUUUGUGGUGGUCCCGAAUCCAGGGGUCAGUCUCGGGUGUCUCUUUUAUUUAAAGCUUUAUUUAGGUAUUUUAUGUGUAUGAGUGCUCUGACUUCAUGUACAGACAGCACACCAGAAGAGGGCAUCAGAUCCCAUUGUAGAUGGUUGUGAGCCACCAUGUGGUUGCUGGGAAUUGAACUCUGGACCUCUGGAAGAGCAACCCAGUGCUCUUAACCACUGAGUCAUCUUUCUAGCCCCUUGGGUGUUUUUCCUGGGUUCUGUCUUGGUAUUUUUUGAGACCUGGGUCUCCUUGGCCUGGAGCUUACCGUGUAGACUACACUGGUUGGUUAGUUAGCCCCAGGGGUCUUCUGUCUGAGCCUCCUGGGUGCUGGGAUAACAGGCAUCUGUCCCAGCCUUCUUGUGGGUUCUUGGGCUUGAACUCAGAUCCUCAGUGUUUGUGUGGCAAGCACUGUACUGACCGAGCUAUCUUCCCAUCCCAGCUGUGGAAGGUCAGCCUCCCAUGUUGCUGAAAGGCUACAAGAAAUUCUUUCGAAGGAAAUCCUUCAUGAUAAAUGGCAGAUGUGGGUCCCAAGCCAGCAGAACCAUUCAGAUGUAGAUUUUCCUGUUUGUUGCCUGUCUUGUCUCCGUUCACUACGGGUAAAGGGAAGCAGUGUUUGGGGUGGAAUGAGCACUUCCAGAGAUUGGAAUUAUCUGGGUUAGUGAGUUGUGAUCAUAGCUAAUCUAGGCUGAAAAGGGGCUUGUGACUGCCAUGUCAGCCUUCUGGUUGGUCACUUGUGGUUUGGUGAUGUGUUUUUGAGGGGCCUGGGUCAAGUGAAGGGAUUUGAAGGUCCAAAGACAUUCACCCAGUAUAUGACAAAGAAUGCAAAUGUCCGGGUGUCUAGUCAUGGCUCACUAAAUGGAACCUUCUAGAUGCUAGCUCUUUCCAAGGAUGUGGAUUGAGGCCAGACUGUUUCUGUUUUGAAAAGUGAAGAAUGUGUUUAUUCAGAUGUUUUGGACACAUGUAAGGGAAUAUGAGCUACAUAAAUUUGAUUUUCUAGUCUGAUAGUUCCGUUCAAAAAGAAAAUAAAAACAUGACAUUAUUGUUAUUAACUUUGAUUUUAAUGACAACAUAUUCAAGAUAUAAUUCACAUACAGGUUUUUAUAUGUCCUUGGAGCUGUGGACUUAUCACCUGUAGUUCCAGAACAUUCCCACCAGCUCUAAAAUAAACACAGCACUCACUAGCAGACACCCCAUAUUUCCCUUUCCCUGGCUCUAGCCAGCCACCAGCCUACUUUCUAUCCCAGAGAAUUUGCCUUUUCAAGACAUUUUCUACAAGUGGGGUCCUAUAACGUGGUCUGUUGCGACUGGCCUCUGUCAGAUGGUAUCAUGUUAUCAUUUUCAUAACUGAAAAAAAAAUCUUCUCAUUGUGUGGCUAUGGGAAGACAACUCUCCCUGCUGAGGACACAUAAUCCCAGUCUUGAAAGUCACUUUGAAAGUCUAAAAUACUCAGGCAGUAUUAAUGUAUUAGUGGUUAUGAAGCCGGAAUGAAAUAUUCCAUAAGACUGAGAAUCCCACGUUGAAAAGAUCAGGAAGUGUACUUUUCAGAUUUAUUAGAACACACAGCUUUUUUUGUAAUUAUAGAAAGGAUGUCGGAAAUGGGCUUGCCUCUCAUCUGACAGGCCAGAGGCCUAGAAAGAGGAAGGGCCUUGUUUCUGGACCCAGCCCCCGAGCCCCUUUAGCAGCUUGCUUGAGGCAUCAUUUCCUUCUGGGGUACGUCUCAGGUUUGUAAGCCCCCCCCCCCCCCCCCUUGCUGUCUGGCUUUCCAUAUAGAAACGGCAGUACACUGGCAAGUAAGAGGGCAUUGGUGCUUCUCCGGGCUGAGCCUCAGCUCUCCUGCCUCUAGAGAAACAGCCUCUUGGCCCCACCUCCCUCCCAGCCCUGCCCUGGAGGUUGGAGUUUCAGGGGCUGAACACCCAGGCAGCCUCAGACAAAACAACCAGAGGAAUCAAGAGCAGGAAGAGAACUCAAUUGAGAAAUCUGUGAAGGUCAGUGCUGGAGCCAGACGGACGCUUCCCAGAGCGAGUGGAUGGAGAUGGUAUUGACUGAGAUCCCCAGCAUUCACCACCCGCACGCGAAGAAGGUUAACCUUGGACCUCCGCUGGCUGUCCUGCCCGGGCCCUCUCUUCUUGCUUGUAUCCCGUGCUCAGCAGCCUGGAAUGUACAGUCGCAGCACCACUCAGAAAAGGGGUUCUGGCUUCCUGGAAUGUUCAAGGUCUUCCUUUUGUUUCUGCUGCCUUCCCACCUCAGACCCAGCAGCUGGCUGGUGCCAACUCUGGAAUUUAAGAGAGUGGGACACAGAACACAGCCAUUUCGACUUGAAUGGGCUCAUGGGCCUGGUGAGACAUCGUUGCUGUGAUUACUGGGUUAUAUUUUCUUAUUUUUCUUUCCUUCAGGCACAGGAGGUCUAUCUCCUACCCACUUUAUACCUCAUCAGCCCUACAGAUUUCUCUGAUCCUCAGAGAAAGCGGUCCAAGGUCACUGGCAGAGGCGGAGCCCUGCGAGCUUCCCUUACCCCCACGCCUCUCUCCUUGGAACUUUCCAACCCUCCUCCCCACUCUGCUCAUCUGGACUUUGGCCCUUGGUCUCCCAGGUCAUUCCCAAAUUCAGUAAGAACUCUCAUAAAGGGAGCUUUUCCUUGGGGACAAAUCGUCUGUCCCCCUCCAUGAUGGUGCAGCACACCCCUCCCUAUCUGUUCCUCUCUCUGGCUUUGUAGCACACACCUCUCCCCAGACACAGGUUCUAGUCCUGUCUCGACAUGCCACCCAUACCUGCUUCGGUCUCAGCUGCUUGUAUUCUACCCUGACAGGGAAAGUCCCAAGGUUCGUGAGCCAUGAAGGAUUUCCUAGCCAUGGAAGGAUAGCCCAGGUGUUUGCUUCUUCCUUCUAGGGAUUGGCUGCUUGGUGUGCUUGGUGCUAGUUGAUUUGAUAACACAGAUUGCUCCUUCUCUCUGCUCUGUAAGAACUCACUUACUACACCCCUGGCAGAGAAGUGUGGGGAUGAGUAAAGUGCUUGCCAGAGAAGCCUAAAGACUGAGCUGACUCUCAGAACCUACGUCAAAAGCCAAGCAGGGCGGCAUAUGCUUGCAAUCCCAACACUGGGGAGGGAGGCAGGGUAGGCCAGCCAACCUAGCAAAAUUGGCAAGCACCAGGUCCCAGUGACUCCGCCUCAAAAAUACAAUGUAAUGACUGUUCUGAAGGAUACUAUUCGUGGUUUAUCUCUAGUGGCUGAGCACACAGGCACAUGUGAGGGGAGGGAGCAGGCAGUGCAUGUAUGGGGACUCGCCUUGAGUUGGGAGUCUGGGGCCUUGGCUGAAGUUGUACUCCAGCCCCAGGAGCCCUGUUCUGCCCUGUCUAGCACAGAUGGUACGCUGUGAACGGAGCAGACAGGAGCACUUGCAGACAGGCACCUUGAGUGGGGUGCGUUUUUCUCCUAGUCCUGCAUUGACUUAGUAGCUCUUUGUAGUUCCUUGUCAUUAGGUCAUGCUUUGGACUGAUCACACUAUCAAAUAUAACACAUGGCUCUUGGGCAGCUGAAAGAUGAAGAGGACACACCCAGUGUGUACCUUCCACUUGGCUGUGGGAGGGUGCAGGUGACAGCUGGGGACUGUGUCCUACCCCUUCACACCUUUCCCAAAGAUCUCCUCACCCACAGGGUGCUUGCUAUGUUUGCCUGUGUUGUUUAUUUUCCCUCAGACUCCUGGGAAGGACUUCCAGCUUACAACAGCCAGGGCUUCAGAUGGUAAUUAUUUAGAUAACAGCUUCUCUUUGACCUCAGGUGGUCAAGGUGCCUUCCCGUAGGAAUGCACACGUUUACCACUGGCUUCCUCUCCAACUUCUGUGCAAGGCAUUCUGGCUCCUUUGAAAGGACUUGGGUUACUUGGCCAGGUCUACAUGGCAGAAGGAAGCCAUUCUGAACUUGAAGUGUCUGGGAGGAAGAUGCUUUCCCUUCAUGGGCCUGUCCAGCCCCUUCCGUCCCCCUUGCCUUCCUGCUGAGCAGGCCUUGGUAUGGUCCCUGUGUGUUUUUAUCUUCCUUCCUAACCCUCCUUUCCUUGAGUCCUGGUUUCUGGCAAAACUGACCUAUGCUUGUAUUUUUUAGUUUUUCAGAUAUGAAUUCAGGUGUGACUGGCUGUGCUAGGCUUUGGAGUUGAAGAAAUUAGGGGGAAGACCACUACUGAUUUUAGAGCUGAGAGGGACCAUCGAGGCCACCCAGUAGAACUCUCUCACUGGGAAGCAGAGGACCCAGUCUGAGGGUCCUGCCUGUGGUCGUAUAGCUUGCCUCUGCCUUUGUGCACUGUCCUGACAUUGAAAAUCACCAAGGACAAGGAAGGCUUCUCAGCUCCCAGCAGAUGGAUGCGGUGUGAGCUUUGUGUGAGAUGGUCCGUGGGCUCCUGGCUUCCACCUUUAGGAACUCUAGCAUGACUUUAAAAUCCGAAGAACUUGGUGAGUUGGCAGACUGACUCCUUCCAGCAUGGGCCCGUCUAGUUCCACAGGGUCCCGUAACUAUAGUCAGAGGGUUCUACCUGCUUUAAUGCUCUGGGGUGACCGCCUUGACAUUUGUAAUCCUUGGAACAAAAGCUUCAUUUUCAUUUUGCCCUGGGCCCUGCAGAUGAUGAAGCCAGUGUUGAAUGUGGGUCACUACACUAAAUGCCAAGCAUUUGAUCAAUUUGUACUUGCAACUGAUUUGAAUUUGGGGAACAGGCCGUUCCCCGGGGAAUAAAGAAGGAUUCAUUUCUUUUUCCCUCGAAUACACUGUGUCCUGUUUUCCAAAUUCUCUGUACAUAUCAACUCUGCAGAUAAAUUAGAUGGCGGCAUUGUUCUUGCUGGAAGUGAAGGCUGGACCAUUGAGCUUGCAUCCUGCCCCCCUCAACCCCACCCAUCUUUCAGUCCAGAAGUGUGGUUCAGGAUCCCACUGUGGUAUGGGAUGUAGGGAGCUGAAAGCUGAGGCUGAGGAGGGAGGCUGCAGAGGGCAGAGAUGAAGCUGGGAGUCUCUGCACAGCCCAGCUUCCCGCUGUGCUACUCACCGGCUCUGAGCUUUUUAGGGGGAGGCAGGGAGCAAGCAGGUAUGAAACCUCCUGUAGCCCAAGCUGGCCUCAGACUUGAUAGGCAGUCAAGGAUGACCUUGGAUUUCAGAUCCUCCUUAUCUCCUGAGCACUGGGAUUACAGGUGCGGUUCCCGUGCCUGGAUUACUGUGUGGUACCCACAGGGCUUCAUCCAUGCACGCUAGGCCAAAACUCUUUUAUCUCUAGUCCAGUUCUGGGUCUUUGAGCCACACACUUUCCUGCUGUAUAGAUUCAAGUAUUAGGGUCACCCUGAAGGCUUUGAAGAAAAACUAGAGGAAACAUCUGUGUCUAGCAUUGUGCUUAAGCACAAAGUCUUAUUGGCUGGUAUUGCCUAGUAUUUUACCGCCAAUAUUGAAGGCCGACUGGGGUCUGACUGACUAGCUGUUGGGAAGAAUAAAGCAUUCCAGGCAGGAAGCAAAAUGGUCGUGAGUACACAGAGAGGGCUGGAGUGGAGCCCCAUCUUUUUUAGGAACUGAGAGGGAGGAGCCUAAAGUUCUCAGAAGCACAGGAUGAGCCCCAUAGGGUUGUUGCGAGGCAAUGGCCACAGAGUUGGGCUAAGCAAGAGCUCGGAAAUGGUAGCAGGGACUUCGGGCUGAGGCGCUCUCUGUGCAGUCCGUCACUUGGGAUAGCUGCCAUGUGGGAGAAGGACAGAGUCUGUGGCAGAAGGACAGAGCCUGUGGCAUCUGUUAGUGUUUUUAUCACUGUGACAAAACACUGGAUAUGAGGGGUUGGGGAUUUAGCUCAGUGGUAGAGUGCUUGCCUAGCAAGCGCAAGGCCCUGGGUUCGGUCCCCAGCUCCGGAAAAAACAAACAAACAAACAAACAAACAAACAAAAAAAAAACCACUGGAUAUGAAUAACUUAAGCGAGGAGAGUGGCUUUUGUUCUAUUUUGUUUUUCUAGACAGGGUUUUUAGGAGUCUCAAGCUAGUAUUGGUCUCAGUAUUGUAGCCAAGGAUGACUUGAGUUUCUGGUCCUGCCUCUGCGGGAUGCUGUGAUUACCAGCUACGCUAUACCCAGUAACUCUGCCAGCUGAGUUACGUCCCUCCUGGCCAAGGGAGGGAAGAUUUGUGAUUCCAUUUCAGUGGGCUUGUGAGGCACAUGCAGGUACUGGUGGCAGAGGGGUCUGCUCAUCUCAUGUCUGCUAAGGAGGGGAUGGGUGGAAGGGCAUGGAGGGAGGGGGAAGGAAAGAUCUGGAGACCAGACACCCUUUUAAAAGACACACCCCAGCAAUUUCCUCUCAGCCAGGACCUAUCUGCUACCACCUAGUGAUGUCAUCGUGUGAUUAUGUCAUCAGUGGAUUGGCCCAUUGGUGAGGCCAGAGUCUUCAGUGUUCGGAUCCACCAACACUGAUGAGAUCAAGGCUUCAACACAAAAGCCUAUGGGAGGAUACAUCAUGUCCAGCCCUGUAGCUUGUCUUUGCUACUUUGUGGAUUCUUCUUUUUCCUACCCUAACAUCCCCUCCCCACACCCUGUCUCACCCCUCUCACUAGGUAGGAGAAAAGGAAGGAUAGAGGGGAGAGAGAUAAAGAUUCUUGGAUUUAAUUUCUUCUUUGCGCAUGAUUAUUAACACACCCCUAACAACCCCCCUUUCAACAGCCGUCAACCACCAACCCUGCCUAUUGAGGCUCUAGCAUUUAUAGUCCCUCUGAAAAGUUCCCAGAAUUCCAAACGUCACACAAUUGCAGAAACUCUGCAGCUGGCAAAACCACGCCUCUACUAGAGCACGAGGCAAGUCAUAGCCACUGCUGCGGAUGAUCAGAAGCAGCCCCAUAUCCCUGCACCUGGAGUUAACUUGAAAACAUAGUCUUCCGAUGUUUCUGUGUUUUAAAAAUGAAACAAAAUCCCAGAAUUAUUACUACACAGCCCAUAACACUGAAGCAACUGCAUCCGAUGAACUGUUUUACCUCUGUAAGUUUUCCACGUGCUGAUGCCUUGUUACAGCUCUUGUCAGAGACAUGGGCCCUGUUGGGCUGACUUUCGCUAUACACCGUCUGCUCUGCAUCUUUCGCACUGGUGUAGGGAUUCAGUAGCAUCCGAGGUCCCUAACUGCCUUGGCUUCUGAUAGUCUUAGCACAUCCUCUCCUUCCUUCCAGGAGACAGUUGUAUCACAGCAAAGUUUUCAUGACAUUCCCAGGCCAAAAGAACACCGAAGAGUUCCAAUUGCCAAGAGUGUUAUCCUAACAACUUAUUUGUGUCCUUACGACAUAGUAGUCAUCAGGGAAAAAACAAUUACCUUUCACUUCACCUUACCACUGUUGCCACUGAAUGGAACACACACACACACACACACACACACACACACACACACACACACCCCUCUUUGGUGGCUUUCCUGGUUAGCUUUCAUAUACAGGAAGGACCCAGAUUACCUGAGAGAGUCUCACUUGGGGGAUUACUAGUCAGACUGGUUAAUGGGGCAUUUUCUUAAUUGCUAAUUGGUAAGAAUGUCCCAUCCACUGUGGGCAAUACCAUUCCUAGGCAAGGGGUCCUGGACAGUGUAAGGAAACUAGGGAGAGCAUGCCAGAAACCAGUGUCCUUCCAUCGUUUUUUUGCUUGAUUCCCGCCCUGAUUUCCCUGAAUGAUGGACUGGAAAUCUAAGACAGAAUAAACCAUUUCCUCCUCAAGUUGCUUUUGGCCGCGCUAUUUAUCACAGCAAAAGGAAAACAGAUAAGACUAGUGACCUUUGACCUUUCCAGUACUACAGACAAAUUCAGUACAACUUCCACCAUUUCCAGUGUUGAGUAAUUUUUCUGUGGUCCGGUUCUUUUAUCAAAGCAACUGUCAGCAGCCUCACCUUGUGGAGAUAGGGGGGUCAUCCAAAGAAUGUGGUGACACAAAAGUUUUGAGACUGUCAUCCCUUUUCUCUCACUUCCACAUAUAUAUGUAUGAAAGACACCUUGCCCCUCACUUAAGGAAGGUAAGCAUUUACAGACAGAUUUGGGCAUCUGCUAAGGACCUGGAAACCGUCAGGUUGUUGAACCAGAGAUCUUUCCAGUAAGCAUUCUGUAUAAGGGGAGCUGUGUGUUUCUCUCUUUGUUCCUAAAAGGUAGUUGUUGAAAAUGCUUAAUUUAAAAAGGAAAGGAAAGAAACAAAUGGUGGUUUAGAUGGUGCACACCUUUAAUCGCGGCACUCAGAAGACAGAGGCAAACGUAUCUCUGUGAGUUCAAGGUCAGCCUGGUCUACAUAGUGAGUUUCGGGACAGCCAUGGCUAUGCAGAGAGAUCUUGUCUGAAAAAAAAAAUAAUAAUAAAGAAAUAAAAGAAAGUGAUUAAUGAUACCGUCUGUGAACCCCCAGAGAUGAUGAGUUCUAAGGGUUUGACAUUUAUGAAGUGGUGUGCCUAUUAGUUUAUAACAGACAAAGGCGGGUCAUUUGCCUUUUGGGAUUGAAGUCUGGCAGCCAUUAGCUCAUAAAACGAUAAGAAAUAGUUGGCUGUGCUUAAUGGGCCAUUUGUGGUGUUAAAAUCAGUAAUACUAAAUAUUUAUUAGCCAAGCGGAAAGAUUUAUCUCUGUAAAUUGCUGUGACUCAUCUUUCCGCGGGCCGAUUCUGGUUAUUUAGAUUAAUUUUUGUUUAAAAAUGAAGUCCUGUUGUAGGUCCUUCAGUGCUUCCUGUGUGAGACUCGCAUGUAUGGUACCAGUCUUUAAUGUCGACAUACAUUUUAGAAGUAGGCUUUCUACUAAAACUCCUGAGGUUUUCUGUGGAAGUGUGUUUUAAUCUACACAUCCACUGGGGGAAAUUGAAAACUUAGCAGCGCUGAGCCUCGAAACUGCAAGUCUGGUAUUUUUCUGCAUUUAUUUAGGUCUAGUUUAACUUGUUUGGACACUUGUUCUGGAGCAUUCGAGGGGCAGUUCUUACACAACCUUGUUAAUGUUUUCCCCAGGUAUUUUUUUAAUACUUUUGAUGUCGUUAUGAUAUUUGUAAGUUUUUUUUGCUGUCAUUGUUCAUUGAUAAACAUACAAAGUCUAAUGCAUUCUGCGUAUUGACCUGCUUUCCUACGGCACCACUAAACUCAUGUAUCCGGGUAUUUUAUUUUUAUAUUCCCUAAGAGUUUUCUAGAAGGACCAUCAGUUCAUAUCAAAGCAAUGUUUAUGUUUUUCUUUCCAAUCCCCAUGUCUCUAGUUUUCCUCUCCUGCCUCAUUGUAUGUGGGCCACUACUAUAGGGCAGCCAGUUCCAGCUUUGUGCUCUGUUUAGCCAUGGGACAAUUAGGAAGGGCCAGCCUCAGCCCCACAGACUUCCUUCUCCCCCAGCUAAGGGAGCAGACGGAAUGGGGAGUGGGGGAUGGGGUCCUGCUCCUUAGGGUGUGGCGGGCUUGCCUUCGGGUGGGUCUCUCCGUAGAGUGCCCGUCUGGGUUGCAGUGUGGUUAGAUCGGUGCUGACUCAACCUCUGGCUUCUUCUGCAAAGCCGUGGGGUGACUGUGAGCUGGUUCAGGUUGUGAUCAGAAAAA